This 130-nucleotide small nucleolar RNA is filed under the name Leptobrachium leishanense (Leishan spiny toad). RNAcentral describes it as "Small nucleolar RNA SNORA69 (ENSLLEG00000013496.1)". It matches the Rfam family "Small nucleolar RNA SNORA69". Rfam says of the family: U69 is a member of the H/ACA class of small nucleolar RNAs (snoRNAs) which act as guides in the the modification of uridines to pseudouridines. Lineage: Eukaryota; Metazoa; Chordata; Amphibia; Anura; Megophryidae. The record is from Rfam by way of RNAcentral.
CAAGCAGGUUGCAAUUACAGUGCUUCAUUCUGUGGGAGUGCUGCCAUUAGUCCUGCUGAAAGCAUUGAUGCUGGCUAUUGUGCGAUUUCUCCUUCCGCAUAGGACAAAUCUCCUGUUGGCACCAACAAUG